AGUGAACGCUGGCGGUAGGCCUAACACAUGCCAGUCGAACGGCAGCACAGUAAGAGCUUGCUCUUACGGGUGGCGAGUGGCGGACGGGUGAGGAAUACAUCGGAAUCUACUUUUUCGUGGGGGAUAACGUAGGGAAACUUACGCUAAUACCGCAUACGACCUACGGGUGAAAGCAGGGGAUCUUCGGACCUUGCGCGAUUGAAUGAGCCGAUGUCGGAUUAGCUAGUUGGCGGGGUAAAGGCCCACCAAGGCGACGAUCCGUAGCUGGUCUGAGAGGAUGAUCAGCCACACUGGAACUGAGACACGGUCCAGACUCCUACGGGAGGCAGCAGUGGGGAAUAUUGGACAAUGGGCGCAAGCCUGCUCCAGCCAUACCGCGUGGGUGAAGAAGGCCUUCGGGUUGUAAAGCCCUUUUGUUGGGAAAGAAAAGCAGCAGGUUAAUACCCCGCUGUUCUGACGGUACCCAAAGAAUAAGCACCGGCUAACUUCGUG
RNAcentral lists this ribosomal RNA (492 nucleotides) under uncultured bacterium. RNAcentral's name for it is "partial 16S ribosomal RNA". It matches the Rfam family "Bacterial small subunit ribosomal RNA", at positions 29 to 507 of the family's 1533-position model. The record is from RNAcentral.